RNAcentral lists this transfer RNA (74 nucleotides) under Pantoea phage vB_PagS_AAS21. It matches the Rfam family "tRNA". Rfam says of the family: Transfer RNA (tRNA) molecules are approximately 80 nucleotides in length. Their secondary structure includes four short double-helical elements and three loops (D, anti-codon, and T loops). The record is from Rfam by way of RNAcentral. Lineage: Duplodnaviria; Heunggongvirae; Uroviricota; Caudoviricetes; Demerecviridae.
GCGUCGUUAGCUCAAUUGGUUAGAGCACUCGCCUUUUAAGCGAUAGGUUGAAAGUUCAAGUCUUUCACGAUGCA